Molecule: ribosomal RNA, 420 nt
Filed under: uncultured Paracoccaceae bacterium
Lineage: Bacteria; Pseudomonadati; Pseudomonadota; Alphaproteobacteria; Rhodobacterales; Paracoccaceae
Description: bacterial SSU rRNA
Rfam family: Bacterial small subunit ribosomal RNA
Source: RNAcentral
AUACGGAGGGGGUUAGCGUUGUUCGGAAUUACUGGGCGUAAAGCGCGCGUAGGCGGAUUAGUCAGUUAGAGGUGAAAUCCCAGGGCUCAACCCUGGAACUGCCUUUAAUACUGCUAGUCUUGAGUUCGAGAGAGGUGAGUGGAAUUCCGAGUGUAGAGGUUGAAAUUCGUAGAUAUGACUCAGAACACCGAUUGCGAAGGCAGCUUACUAACAUGUAACUGACGCUGAGGGACGAAAGCGUGGGGAGCGAACAGGAUUAGAUACCCUGGUAGUCCACGCCGUAAACGAUCAUCACUCGCUGUUGGCGAUAUACUGUCAGCGGCCAAGCGAAAGUAUUAAGUGAUGCCACCCGGGGAGUACGCCCGGCAACGGUGAAACUCAAAGGAAUUGACGGGGCCCGCACAAGCGGUGGAGCAUGGU